This 329-nucleotide unclassified non-coding RNA is filed under the name soil metagenome. Its description in RNAcentral is "partial contains 5.8S ribosomal RNA, internal transcribed spacer 2, and large subunit ribosomal RNA". The stretch from base 1 to 120 matches the Rfam family "5.8S ribosomal RNA", at positions 35 to 154 of the family's 154-position model. The record is from RNAcentral.
GAUGAAGAACGUAGCGAAAUGCGAUAAGUAGUGUGAAUUGCAGAAUUCAGUGAAUCAUCGAAUCUUUGAACGCACAUUGCGCCCCUUGGUAUCCCGAGGGGCAUGCCUGUUCGAGCGUCAUUUCACCACUCAAGCCUGGCUUGGUGUUGGGCGACGUCCUCUUUGGGGACGCGCCUCGAAACGCUCGGCGGCGUGGCACCGGCUUUAAGCGUAGCAGAAUCUUUCGCUUUGGAAGUCGGGGCCCCGUCUGCCGGAAGACCUGCUCGCAAGGUUGACCUCGGAUCAGGCAGGGAUACCCGCUGAACUUAAGCAAAUCAAUAAGCGGAGGA